RNAcentral lists this ribosomal RNA (691 nucleotides) under gamma proteobacterium KIT2TW1. RNAcentral's name for it is "bacterial SSU rRNA". It matches the Rfam family "Bacterial small subunit ribosomal RNA", at positions 1 to 692 of the family's 1533-position model. The record is from RNAcentral. Lineage: Bacteria; Pseudomonadati; Pseudomonadota; Gammaproteobacteria.
UUAGAGUUUGAUCCUGGCUCAGAUUGAACGCUGGCGGCAGGCCUAACACAUGCAAGUCGAGCGGUAGAGAGGUGCUUGCACCUCUUGAGAGCGGCGGACGGGUGAGUAAUACCUAGGAAUCUGCCUGGUAGUGGGGGAUAACGUUCGGAAACGGACGCUAAUACCGCAUACGUCCUACGGGAGAAAGCAGGGGACCUUCGGGCCUUGCGCUAUCAGAUGAGCCUAGGUCGGAUUAGCUAGUUGGUGAGGUAAUGGCUCACCAAGGCUACGAUCCGUAACUGGUCUGAGAGGAUGAUCAGUCACACUGGAACUGAGACACGGUCCAGACUCCUACGGGAGGCAGCAGUGGGGAAUAUUGGACAAUGGGCGAAAGCCUGAUCCAGCCAUGCCGCGUGUGUGAAGAAGGUCUUCGGAUUGUAAAGCACUUUAAGUUGGGAGGAAGGGCAUUAACCUAAUACGUUAGUGCUUUGACGUUACCGACAGAAUAAGCACCGGCUAACUCUGUGCCAGCAGCCGCGGUAAUACAGAGGGUGCAAGCGUUAAUCGGAAUUACUGGGCGUAAAGCGCGCGUAGGUGGUUUGUUAAGUUGAAUGUGAAAUCCCCGGGCUCAACCUGGGAACUGCAUCCAAAACUGGCAAGCUAGAGUAUGGUAGAGGGUGGUGGAAUUUCCUGUGUAGCGGUGAAAUGCGUA